UUAUCUCCUCGUGGAUGAUUAUUAUUUCAGUAUCCUCCCCAGUUUAUCAUCUGGAUGAAACCACUCCCCUUGAGUUAUAUCCUCAUUUGGUUGAGUCUUUGAUUGAUCGUUUCUUUCUAGUUCUUACCUGGAUAGAUAUUUUGGUCUCCGAGAGUUUAUUACCCAGUAACUUGUAAUAUUUUUCUUGAUGUUGAGUACUUUACCUUUACCCAAUACCCGGUAAAAAGUAAUCUACUUG
RNAcentral lists this long non-coding RNA (238 nucleotides) under Lathyrus oleraceus (garden pea). Its description in RNAcentral is "Pisum sativum (pea) long non-coding RNA (PSAT_LNC006552)". Lineage: Eukaryota; Viridiplantae; Streptophyta; Magnoliopsida; Fabales; Fabaceae. The record is from RNAcentral.